CCAGCCUCUUUUUUUUUUUUGAGUCCCCUCUGUCGCCCAGGCUGGAGUGCAGUGGUGCAAUCUUGGCUCACUGCAACCUCUGCCUCCCGGGUUCAAGCAAUUCUCCUGCCUCAGCCUCCUGAGUAGCUGGGACUUGCACCACCAUGCCUGGCUAAUUUUUGUAUUUUUUUUUAGUAAGAGACAGGGUUUCACCAUGUUGGCCAGGCUGUUCUGGAACUCCUGACCUCAGGUGAUCCACCUGCCCUGGCCUCUCAAAAGUGCUGGGAUUACAGGCGUGAGCCACCCACCCCACUCUGUUGUCACCAUUUCGUGUGCAUUAUUGCUCCUCAUGAGGUUGCAGUCAGAUGUCAGCUGGGGCUGCAGU
This 364-nucleotide long non-coding RNA is filed under the name Homo sapiens (human). RNAcentral's name for it is "non-protein coding lnc-TMEM145-1:1". Lineage: Eukaryota; Metazoa; Chordata; Mammalia; Primates; Hominidae. The record is from RNAcentral.